CACACACACACGACGUGCAAGCGCAGAUUUCUCGUUAAAACACAGACGUGUAAGCAGAUGUUGAAAGUGCGCCACAAAAAUGCACUGCAUUUAAACGUCGCACUGCAAGGUAAAUACCCAAGGUCUCCUAAAAUUUUGAUGUCGUGAAAUGUAUAGAUUUUAUUCGGGCUUCAUUCAUAUUACAACUGCGAACAGCAAGGUGCCAAACGAACAGGUUUAAAACAUUGGUCAGUUUAUACAGAUUGAAAUUCAAAUUUUUCAUUUGUUUUGACUGUUGAAGUGAAGCCCUGUCUUUGUUGGAUGUUCAAAUGUUCAUACUUUUACUAAACCUAACUUAUACAGCUCUGCGCGAUUAAGGUAAAAGUAAACAAAACCUCAAAGUGGAUUUAAUGUCCCCAUUUUUCUGAUUUUAAGUUCCAAAUGAAGUUCGGUGGACGCAUCCAACUUGAUGACAAAGGCAAAAGAAAGAAAAAAAAUGAUACGUGGGUUGGAGCACGAAACUAUUUAUCGGUUAGGUAUAUAGACCCAAUCCACCACGUAGUGUAAAGUCAAGUGCGACACAGAGAGAAUGGAACUUUGGAAAGUUUGUGGACGUUUUUGAGCCCGCGUUGAGCGAGAACUAUAUAUACGGCUGUAAAGUAAGUGAGCUGCUGCUGCGUAGGCGAUCCUUUUAUUUUCUCACAAGACGGAAACCGACGUGAUAAAAAAACCAACGGAGAGUUAGCUGCUGGCUAAGUCCACGACGACACAGCUGGAAAGGGAAGUUUUCGCAGCCGAAAUGGAGGAAUAAUCGAAUGUUACCAACGGCGAUAUACGACCUCGUCUAGAAAAAGGGGAUUGCUACUCUAGAAGCUUUUUCUUUGGUGAAUAAAGGCUUCAUUUUAUAUUUUUUAUUUAAAGGGGUUGUACGGAGAAACGCCUCUGGUUAUUCAACUUUAUUCGUAUGGCCACUUUUGGUUGAACUACUUGACUCGAUUUGCACUUGAAGUCAGAGUUGUUUUGCACGUUGUUUCUCUCUAGUUGUGAAAAGGUGUUGGUGGAAAAAAAUCUUGAUAAAAAAUAAAAAGGAAUAACGAGGAACAGCGACUAACGAAUUGGUUAGCUGUGAUUGCACCGAGUGUUCGACAGGAAGAUGUAAUAGAAGUUGGGAAGCAACUAAGGAAGUAAAGGAAGUAGAGGGCGCAAAAAGAACAAGAGGAUUUAUAGCCUUGGUGUUAAUACUUUCUUGAUUAGGCAUCAUUCACCUUGGCAGGUACAACAAAAAUCGAUUGAUUGGAGGAUUCGCUAAUUCGUCAAGGAGGACAAUGUCCGACUCGUCAAUUAGGUGAGUUCAGGAUGAGCACGAAAAAGGAUGUGCUACGGUUGAUCACCAUGCCAAAAUGAGAUAAUGCCACUACGUGUACCUUCCCAGCAUUAACACGUGCUGUACUACAACGUCAAAGAUUUUCAUGGCCACAUAAUGAACUCUCAGCUGAUGAUGAGUAGAUUGAGGACCGAUGCGUUGGAAGCGAGGUAAUCCAACGAUAGCCAAGUAUCGCAAACAUAAGGUCCCAGCUGCCACCGGCCGGCUAAUAUAUAGACGGUGAACAAAGGCAUAGAAAUGAGUCCGAUGGCGAAGUCGGCCACAGCCAAACUGAACAGAAAGUAAUUGGAGAUGGUCUGCAGUUGUUUGUCGAUCUUGAACGAGAUCAUCACCAUGCAAUUGCCGGCCACGGUGAGGAAACUGAGGAAGCCGGCAACGAUGGCGAUCAGCACCAUCUCCGGAUAGGAAUAAGGGAGAACGAAGUCGUCCUCUGCCAUUGUGGCCGUCGUGUUGUUUGCACUACUAGACGUCCAUGGCUGCUGGCUGAACAGGACGGACGAAGAUCCUUCGUCCGUGAAAUCAUCGAAGCCGAGGGCAGUGCUACUGGCCAACAUCCUCUGGGAGCCCAUCGGCAAUGACUCGCUUAUAUUGGCCGUCACGUACUGCAGGCUGGCUACUGCAGCUGUAGAGGCCGCUCGUAACAUCGAAGAGCCUGCCUUAUUUCCACCCGACGAGCCCAACGAGCCCCACAAGGGUGUCGUAUGAUUGAAUGCCGACAAACUCAUCUCACCUUCCGUUUUUUUUUUUUUUUCGAAACUUCCUUGUUACACAAACGUCUCACCAACACAGAAACGAAGGUAGACGCCCCAAAAUCACGGAGCAAACGAAGAACGAGUGGUCCAGUCUAACUAGAGGAGCCAUAUCAGCAGCAGCUAGAGUAGCAUCACGCCGAGAGGUAAGUUGCAGAAGCGCACCACUCAUCUCUGCCUACUCGAGAGCAAAAAGUGGCUGGACCGAUCCAACAGUCACGCAACGACGAUUGAUGAUGAGGUCUACUUUGCCAUCGUCUUCGAUGCACAAACAACUCUUUUGUUUCCUUCCCCCAAUCUUUUUUCGCGUGCAAUUUCGAAUGUUAUCAAAACGAAAUAUAUUUUUGUUUGAAUGCC
Molecule: long non-coding RNA, 2469 nt
Organism: Daphnia magna
Lineage: Eukaryota; Metazoa; Arthropoda; Branchiopoda; Diplostraca; Daphniidae
Exons: 2
Source: RefSeq, a predicted model, not a curated record